RNAcentral lists this long non-coding RNA (1357 nucleotides) under Theobroma cacao (cacao). RNAcentral's name for it is "long non-coding RNA (TCAC_LNC000195)". Lineage: Eukaryota; Viridiplantae; Streptophyta; Magnoliopsida; Malvales; Malvaceae. The record is from RNAcentral.
AAACUAUACAUGCAUCGUUAGCAAAGUGAUUCCUAGCAAUUUACAUUUAAUGCACAUGUACUCAUAUAAAAGACUUCUGACGACCAACGUAGUGACUUUGGUGAGGGUACGGCUAUCGAAUGUCAUGAUACCUACCAAAAGUGAAUGUAAGUGGACGCCUUAGUCUUUGUCCCAACUAUCUACAGAUCUGAAAACAUGCAAUUUAAACGAGUGAGUAUAAACUCAGUGAGUGAAUAUAAGAAGAGAACAAGUAACGACAAAUAAUGUUUUAGAAAACAUAAUGCACUUACGAUAAACCAUGCAAUUUAGUCUAAAUUUUUUUUUGGUUAAAACCCCUCAUUUCAAACUUUGAAUAUUUAAUCCCAUAAUGUUACAAGAUCCAUGAUGAACCAUAAAGUUGAAUAGAAUGAAAAUUUCAACAAUGACCAAGCAAGACAAACAAACAGAGGGUUUUCUCGCUGCAGCGAAAAGACAUUCUCAGUUUACAUAUACUUCGGUUUUUCAAGCAUAUCUCCCACUACAUAAGUCCAAUUGACAUAAUUUUUAAGUCAUUAGAAAGAUAAGAGGUUGGGCUACAACUUUGAUAUUUACCACUUUGCCCAAUUCUAAUCAGAAUGUGGUCAAAAUUUUUAUCAAAGUGAAAGCACUGCAUCAGAAUUUUGGAACCACCCAAGAGUUUCUAGUUGCAGCAAGAACCAAGCCAAUGUAACCCCCCCAAUCUGAGAGUUUCUCGCUGCAACGAGAAACAUAGCAAUUUAGUUAAAAGGGAUAUUGUUACAUCAAAAAGUUAUUUUCUUACUGAAAUGAAAAGCAAUUUGGGAGCAAUUAACAAUGCCAACAUACAACACAAUCACAAUUAUUUUCAUAAACUUUCUAUAACAUAUAUACAUAUAUAUGUAUAUACAUACAUCAUCAUGCAUACCAUCCCACUCAGCUCAUGUGCACUCCCUACUUGCAUAUAGUCAGGUCAUCAUCAACUCAUGUGCACUAUCACACCGCACAUAGCUGGAUCAUCAUCAACUCAUAUGGCACUCCCACACCGCACAUAGUUAGGUCAUGAUUAUCACACAAAAGAAGCAUCCAAAGCAUAAUAUACAUAUCAAUAUAAUGUGAUAACGCAUGAACUAUUCAAAUUGCACAUUUCACAAGAUAAAAACAUUUCAUCAAGGGUUUGUUCCCUAAGUAUAUUUUUUUAAAAGCAAAAACAAAUGAAACUUUUAAAUGAUUUAUUUAAACAUGUAGGCACUUCCCAAAACAUUUUGAAAUGCAAGUUCACUCACCGAUAUUUGUUAAAUCUUAGAUCAACUCCAACUUCCACUAAUGCUCCGAAUAAAGAUAUGGGGUCUCGUUGGAACCU